GCCUCGGCUACUCGGAUCUUAUUCGGCGGACGGGUAGAGUAAUGCUUAGGAGUCUGCCUAUGAGUGGGGGACAACAUCUCGAUAGGGAUGCUAAUACCGCAUACAAUAACUACGGGAGAAGCAGAGAGAUCUUCGGACCUUGCGCUAAUAGAUGAGCCUAAGUCAGAUAAGCUAGUUGGUGGGGUAAAGGCCUACCAAGGCGACGAUCUGUAGCGGGUCUGAGAGGAUGAUCCGCCACACUGGGACUGAGACACGGCCCAGACUCCUACGGGAGGCAGCAGUGGGGAAUAUAGGACAAUGGGGGGAACCCUGAUCCAGCCAUGCCGCGUGUGUGAAGGAGGCCUUAUGGUUGUAAAGCACUUUAAGCGAGGAGGAGGCUACUUUAGUUAAUACCUAGAGAUAGUGGACGUUACUCGCAGAAUAAGCACCGGCUAACUCUGUGCCAGCAGCCGCGGUAAUACAGAGGGUGCGAGCGUUAAUCGGAUUUACUGGGCGUAAAGCGUGCGUAGGCGGCUUAUUAAGUCGGAUGUGAAAUCCCGAGCUUAACUUGGGAAUUGCAUUCGAUACUGGUGAGCUAGAGUAUGGGAGAGGAUGGUAGAAUUCCAGGUGUAGCGGUGAAAUGCGUAGAGAUCUGGAGGAAUACCGAUGGCGAAGGCAGCCAUCUGGCUAUACUGACGCUGAGGUACGAAGCAUGGGAGCAACAGAUAGAUCCNGUAGUCAUGCCUAACAUUCACUAGCGUGGGCUGAGCUAGUGCCACUACCAUAGUAACGCUGGAUCGUCAGCUAACUCAUAUACGGGCCUCACCGGACGUGUUAUUAUCACGAACUACUGCUACUCGACCUCAAAUAUGUCCUGAAUAUCGGUCCUCGUACCUGCGAGUGAUUCCAAGCCCCUCUGCGUG
This 902-nucleotide ribosomal RNA is filed under the name Acinetobacter sp. NIOB 016. RNAcentral's name for it is "bacterial SSU rRNA". The stretch from base 1 to 787 matches the Rfam family "Bacterial small subunit ribosomal RNA". Lineage: Bacteria; Pseudomonadati; Pseudomonadota; Gammaproteobacteria; Moraxellales; Moraxellaceae. The record is from RNAcentral.